This 2945-nucleotide long non-coding RNA is filed under the name Homo sapiens (human). RNAcentral's name for it is "HSALNT0008607". Lineage: Eukaryota; Metazoa; Chordata; Mammalia; Primates; Hominidae. The record is from RNAcentral.
GUUUAAAGAAUCUAUAUAUCUUUAAUUUAGCAUGCCUCUUCAAUACAGUCUCUGUGAAAUAUAGAAAUAUAGAAAAGCACUUUUCUGUUGCUCUUAUGCAUAGAUUUUAUGUGUAGUUCUGUUAUAAUAAUAACAACUGACAUUUAUUAAGUGUUUACUAUAUGUUGGGCAUGCUUUUAAGUACUCUGUAUAUAUGUUUUGUAAAUUUUCAUGCUGACACUGAAAAGCUGCUAUACUUUCCUCUUUUAAUAAAUAUAGACACUGAAGGAGAGGGUUUAAUUAAGUUGCAAAUGAUUUGCAUGUCCAUCAUUUAUUCACUCAUUUAACAAGAUUAUUGAAUACCCCUUUUUGUUAGGUAUUAUGAUAGAGAUUGGGAAGCAAGAUGUAAAUAAGCAAGUAAGUUUCUGGAUCUUGGAAUACUUAAAUGUUUGUGAUAAAGACAAUACAUGAAAACAAGCAGCAACAAUAAAGAAGAUAACUUCCUCUACUGAUAUAUCUAUGAAAAACAAAUUAAAUAUAAUGAUAAAUACAGUAAAUAUGGGUAUAGAGUGUGGCUUUAGAUAGGAGAGUCAAGGAAUGUUUAACAAAGUGAGAGUAGAGUUUAAGCUACGUGGAACUGAAUCUGCUAAGACAAAUUAGGCAUAGAAGAUGCAGGGAAAGAGACUUCCAGCCAGGGUGAAGAGUGAGCAGGAACAGAAAGGAGGCCAGUAUACUUGCAGCAUAGUGCAUGAGAGACAACAACAAAAAGAGGUCAAUCAAGUAAACCCAAGUCCUCUCACUCUGGAGCCUGCCUUCUUAUGUAAUAACUAAGAUUUUGAACUCUCUCAGCCAUAGAGUAUUCCCAGCUUGGGAAUGAACUGCAAGGCCAAGGUUGCUGUCCCAAAGCGUAAAAUCUCUGAGAACUCUCCAGCAUUCUUAAAACAUAUAAAUUUUACAUUCUAUUUCUAAUAUAUAUUUAAUUUAUCAUGAGAAUAAUACCCCCUUCCUCUUGAAUUUCUUGGAAGAUGAGCCAUAUUUCUUCUGAGACUCUGCAGGGAACUGCCUGGAGCAUUUCUGAGCAUACCCGAAUGUAUAUAGGAUACAUUUUGAGAAACACGAUCACCAUAGCUUAUGGCUGUGAAACCUCAGUUGUAACAUCAAUAAAAUGGGAAGAACAAAAAAGUUGCUGUGAAGAUAAAAUGAGGCAGGUCCUGUCAACUGAUUGUGGAAGGAAAAUGAGAAUUUCAGAUGCCUGCUGAGAUCUGUGGAUGGAGUACUUUGUCCACAGGGCACUGAGCUCUGGCCAAACCAAAGACUUGUACUGCAUAGAUGUUCUUCAAUCUCUAUAGCUGGGAACUCUCUUCUUUUUGUAGUGCUUGCCCAUUGUAGAUGUUUAAUAAGUUUGCAUUACGUACAGGAGAAACUAUGAAAGUCCCUUAUAAAUAUAACAACCAUAAUGAUAAAAGGAAAUGUGUUUGCUUUUCCACAUACAUUCCAGGCCCUGGGCUAAACACUCUUUUAAUCCCCACAAUGACUAUACAAAAUAAGCACUAUUAUUUUCUUUGGUUUUACAGAUGAAGACGCUGAGUCUUAAGAAAUCAAAUAUCUGCUCACAGUUGCACAUCUAACAGACAUAUGGAUUCAGGCAAUAUGACUGCAGAGAGUAGAUUGUUAACCUUUAAUCUAUAGUACUUCUUUUUCGCAACUGUCCCUAACCAUUAAGUUAUAGGAGAACACCAGCAACAAAUCCUAGAGAAAGUUGCUGUUUUAGAACUGAACAAAUGUGUUGCAAGGCCAAAGCCACUCUGUGCAUUAAGGUCAAAGCAUUGCUCACCCUCGACGAAUAAUUAAGACAAUCCUCUACUACCCUUAAAAUUGGCUGGAAGCCUUUCACAGUCUCACGCCUAUUUUACAUUUUUGUCCCAUCUCUCUCCACUAGCUCCUCACGCCUUUUCUCCAAGUCUAAGCUCCAAACAUAUUACAUUACUUUCAUUUAAUUAUCUCGGCUCACUGCAAGCUCCACCUCCCAGGUUCACGCCAUUCUCCUGCCUCAGCCUCCCGAGUAGCUGGGACUACAGGCACCCACCACCACACCUGGCUAAUUUUUUGUAUUUUUAGUAGAGACAGGGUUUCACCAUGUUAGCCAGGAUGGUCUCGAUCUCCUGACCUCGUGAUCCGCCCGCCUCAGCCUCCCAAAGUGCUGGGAUUACAGGCGUGAGCCACUGCACCCGGCUGAACAAGCCUACUUUUACUCCUGUCAAGACUCUGCACUGUUCUUCCCACUGGCUAGAAUACAGUCUUCUCCUUUUCUCUUAUCAGUAUUCCAGUGUUCUGCCUAGUAUAAGCUGGACCUGGAAAGCCAACGGCCUGACUAGAGGAUGAGUGAUUCUCUCUGACAACCUAGCUUUGGUGUUUGCCCCUGACAUUAGGGGCCCACAUCCAGCCAAUUACAUUUCCCAGGAUUUUACAUCUUUUUGAAAUAGCACAUUUGUCAAGGAAGCAGGAGCAGAAAGCGUUUGGUGCAUGCAAAGGUAGAAAAACUCCUGAAUUUAAAAGCACUAAACUAGGAGUCAGGCUCCUAGACGCUGGGGUGUGACAUCAGUCUGUUUUUGAGCAUCUAAGUCCUGGCUAAACAAUUACUGCUAUGCAUUUGUCACAGUCGAUAUUGAAGAUCCUAUAGUUGGAGACUGUGAGAAUAAUAACAUUUAAGGCUCAUGCACAUUUUCUUUACAAUUAUUCAUUGUUCAUCUUGUGUGUCUGUCAUCAUGGAAGCUACAAAAUACCAUGUAGAUGGCACCUACCGAGCAAUAACACUUUGAACAAAUGGCCUAAAAGUAGCUGAGAAAAGAAGGACAAGAAAAGAUAGAACAAUAACGUAUCCUGGAAGCCAGAUUCUCAUUGCAUGUAUGUAUGUUUAAACAUUUACAAUUAAGAAUGGCUUUAGCAUUUCAUGGGGGAAAAUGAAC